RNAcentral lists this ribosomal RNA (492 nucleotides) under uncultured bacterium. Its description in RNAcentral is "partial 16S ribosomal RNA". It matches the Rfam family "Bacterial small subunit ribosomal RNA", at positions 29 to 507 of the family's 1533-position model. The record is from RNAcentral.
AGUGAACGCUGGCGGUAGGCCUAACACAUGCAAGUCGAACGGCAGCACAGUAAGAGCUUGCUCUUACGGGUGGCGAGUGGCGGACGGGUGAGGCAUACAUCGGAAUCUACUUUUUCGUGGGGGAUAACGUAGGGAAACUUCCGCUAAUACCGCAUAUGACCUACGGGUGAAAGCAGGGGAUCUUCGGACCUUGCCCGAUUGAAUUAGCUGAUGUCGGAUUAGCUAGUUGGCGGGGUAAAGGCCCACCAAGGCAACGAUCCGUAGCUGGUCUGAGAGGAUGAUCAGCCACACUGGAACUGAGACACGGUCCAGACUCCUACGGGAGGCAGCAGUGGGGAAUAUUGGACAAUGGGCGCAAGCCUGAUCCAGCCAUACCGCGUGGGUGAAGAAGGCCUUCGGGUUGUAAAGCCCUUUUGUUGGGAAAGAAAAGCAGCAGGUGAAUACCCCGCUGUUCUGACGGUACCCAAAGAAUAAGCACCGGCUAACUUCGUG